Molecule: non-coding RNA, 69 nt
Organism: Podarcis lilfordi (Lilford's wall lizard)
Lineage: Eukaryota; Metazoa; Chordata; Lepidosauria; Squamata; Lacertidae
Source: the annotation of a GenBank genome assembly
GCCGUUGCUCAGUGGUAGAACAUGUGAUUUGCAUGCACAAGGUCCCAAGUUCAAACCCCAGCUUCUCCA